CCCAGGGAGAGAUGACAGAGACAAGCCAGCAAGAGGUGAUGGUGAGAAGAUAAGGAACAGGACUGGAGCAAUGAGGUCCCACACGGGGGUGAGUAAAAGUGGGGCUGUGUGAGUCACAGCGCUGCUCCGAUGCCAGUCAGGGUGAGGAGCCAACAAAACACCCUGGCACUUGUUCUUUUCCCUGCCAAGAAAGUUGCAAGAGGUGCUGGAUGCUGCUCUUCCCCACUCAAGAGGCCUCGUGCUGUAGCUAAAGAGAGGGAAGACAGGCCCAGUCCUCAGCUGCAAGGCCCUCUCCUGAGCCCAGAGCUGUAACCAGAUACACCCCGGUUGUACCCCGGCUUCCGACAGCCAAUUCCCCCCUGAGGGAUGCUCACGUUUGGUGAGUGGAGGAACAGGAGGAGAGAGGAGCUUCAUGGAAGUUGACAUGAAUAAAAACAUUC
RNAcentral lists this long non-coding RNA (440 nucleotides) under Manacus vitellinus (golden-collared manakin). RNAcentral's name for it is "lncRNA (ENSMVIG00005001461.1)". Lineage: Eukaryota; Metazoa; Chordata; Aves; Passeriformes; Pipridae. The record is from RNAcentral.